AUUGAACGCUGGCGGAAUGCUUUACACAUGCAAGUCGAACGGCGGCACGGACUUCGGUCUGGUGGCGAGUGGCGAACGGGUGAGUAAUGUAUCGGAACGUGCCCAGUCGUGGGGGAUAACGUAGUGAAAAUUACGCUAAUACCGCAUACGAUCUAUGGAUGAAAGCGGGGGAUCGCAAGACCUCGCGCGAUUGGAGCGGCCGAUAUCAGAUUAGAUAGUUGGUGGGGUAAAGGCCACCCAAGCCAACGAUCUGUAGCUGGUCUGAGAGGACGACCAGCCACACUGGAACUGAGACACGGUCCAGACUCCUACGGGAGGCAGCAGUGGGGAAUUUUGGACAAUGGGCGAAAGCCUGAUCCAGCCAUUCCGCGUGCAGGAUGAAGGCCCUCGGGUUGUAAACUGCUUUUGUACAGAACGAAAAGGUUUCUACUAAUACUAGGAGCUCAUGACGGUACUGUAAGAAUAAGCACCGGCUAACUACGUGCCAGCCGCCGCCGUAA
RNAcentral lists this ribosomal RNA (500 nucleotides) under uncultured bacterium. RNAcentral describes it as "partial 16S ribosomal RNA". It matches the Rfam family "Bacterial small subunit ribosomal RNA", at positions 30 to 523 of the family's 1533-position model. The record is from RNAcentral.